Molecule: ribosomal RNA, 447 nt
Filed under: Rhipicephalus haemaphysaloides
Lineage: Eukaryota; Metazoa; Arthropoda; Arachnida; Ixodida; Ixodidae
Description: partial 16S ribosomal RNA
Source: RNAcentral
GCUCAAUGAUUUUUUAAAUUGCUGUAGUAUUUUGACUAUACAAAGGUAUUGAAAUAAGAUUUUAAUUGAAUACUAAGAGAAUGGAAUUACAGAAAAUAGCUUUUUUUAAAUUAAAAAUUGAAAUUUUUUUAAUUGUGCAGAAACAAUUAUUAAUAUUAAGGMCAAGAAGACCCUAUUUUKKUAUAAAUUUAUAUUAUARGGUAAUUAAUAUAAAAUUAAAAUUUUGGUUGGGGCGCACAAAAAAAAAUAAAAAACUUUUUAUAAAAUGAUCCAUUAUUAAUGAUUAUAUGAAAAAUACUCUAGGGAUAACAGCGUUAUAUUUUUUGAUAGCUCAUAUUGACAAAAAAGUUUGCGACCUCGAUGUUGGAUUAGGAUGCUUUUUUAAUGAGAUAUUAAAAAAAAGGUUUGUUCAACUUUAAUUUCCUACUUGAUCUGAGUUCAGACCGG